Molecule: ribosomal RNA, 385 nt
Filed under: uncultured bacterium
Lineage: Bacteria
Description: bacterial SSU rRNA
Rfam family: Bacterial small subunit ribosomal RNA
Source: RNAcentral
ACGAACGCUGGCGGCGUGCUUAACACAUGCAAGUCGAGCGGUAAGGCCCUUUCGGGGGUACACGAGCGGCGAACGGGUGAGUAACACGUGGGUGACCUGCCCUCAGCUCUGGGAUAAGCCUGGGAAACUGGGUCUAAUACUGGAUAUGACUCCACGGUGCAUGUCGUGGGGUGGAAAGCCUUGUGCGGCUGAGGAUGGGCCCGCGGCCUAUCAGCUUGUUGGUGGGGUGAGGCCUACCAAGGCGACGACGGGUAGCCGGCCUGAGAGGGCGACCGGCCACACUGGGACUGAGACACGGCCCAGACUCCUACGGGAGGCAGCAGUGGGGAAUCUUGCGCAAUGGGCGAAAGCCUGACGCAGCGACGCCGCGUGAGGGAUGACGGCC